CAAGGGAGGGUGCUGCAAGGGAAGCUGUGGCAGAGCUGCAGGGCAGCAAGGAGAUCCUGAGUGGUAACCACAAGAGCAGUAGAGGGGGUUUGCCUGCUGACCUCUCUCAGACAGUGAGAAAGAGAUGAAGAAGGCUGAGGCCCAGUGAGGAGGGGCAGGAAAUGGUUGCUUAGUGAGGAGCAGACUUGGAAAGAAGAGCUCUAGGACUGGCUGAAAAUGCUAGAGCUAGUGGCCCUUCUCUCCAUGCCUCUGAGCAGAUCACUCCAGAGAGAGACACAGGAAAUGGAUAAGCUGAUGAACUUGUCUCUUGCUAGAAGUCAGCCCUCAGGUGGAAUCUAGAUGAGUGCCCAACACCAGAGACACCAGGUAGGUGCCUGACUUUCAGAGGGUGGCUGCUCAGCGUUUUCUGAAAAUCAGCUAGUACCAAGAGCAGCAAGUGCCUUGGGUGAAAGUGUAUGUGGGGAAAGCAAGGAGCCCCCAUCUUAAGAGACCAACCCCGGGGUCUGGUAUUGACUCAGAGGGCAGCCUCCUUCUGAUACACUUAUGGAGCUUCAAUUACCUCGAAUAGGAGGAGUUGCAUCAAGGAGGGGAUAUGUUUGUAUCCAUGGAGUAAACCAUUUAUGGACUUACAUGCCGAACAAAGGGCGUGAAGAGCUUUAUAAAUUAACAAUGCUGAUGUAGAAAGAACUCUAAAUUACUCUCUAAUGAAAACUCUGAGUUAAGAAUAAACCUUAAGCUCUUAACAAGAGAGGAGGCAAUUAGGAAGAUACUGUCAAAGCCAACAGAGGCUCACCAUUAUGUCUGAGAGGAUCAGGUCCGACCAGUAAUGAUUCCGCAUUGUCAGGAUUUAAGUUUGAGGAACUGGCACGUAUUUGUCUGCAUUCAUCAGCCAAACAAUCUGGCAAGACUAGAAACAUGUCUAGAGUCAGAGCACAUUAAAGCUGUGCAUUAUCUGCUUAUCAGCAGGAACUUGACCUAUAAAAUCUCACACACACACACACACACACACACACACACACAGAGCAAGGAAUAGCCAGAAGAGGUGCUUUCAAAGCACAUGGAAUGGAAGUUUGGCCAUUUGGUUAUUCAGCGCCAAGUCCUUGUUGAAUUGUCCAUUGUUGGCUUAUGAAGGUCAAAAUCUUGCAUUUCUUUGACCUGUGCAUUAGAACAAUGAUUAAUAAUAAAGUUUGUUUAAAAGCAGGAGAAAUGAAUCAAGAUGCAGCAUGUGUAGGGACAGAAAACCAUAGCCAUGAAAAUAUGUCCUCCUUGCCAUCCCUACUGGCCAUUCCCACCCUACCACUAGGAUGCUUACUGAUCUGUAAUCCUUUCUGAGUAAUGCAGUUCAUUGAGGUCAUGAUUCAUCAGAGCAUUCAAGUUCUGUUGAAAUCAGUGUGAUAC
Molecule: long non-coding RNA, 1398 nt
Organism: Mauremys mutica (yellowpond turtle)
Lineage: Eukaryota; Metazoa; Chordata; Testudines; Geoemydidae
Exons: 4
Source: RefSeq, a predicted model, not a curated record